CAGUAGCCGCGGGAAUACGAGGGGAGCUAGCGUUGUUCGGAAUUACUGGGCGUAAAGCGCGCGUAGGCGGCUUUUUAAGUCAGAGGUGAAAGCCCGGGGCUCAACCCCGGAAUUGCCUUUGAAACUGGAAAGCCAGAAUCUUGGAGAGGUCAGUGGAAUUCCGAGUGUAGAGGUGAAAUUCGUAGAUAUUCGGAAGAACACCAGUGGCGAAGGCGACUGACUGGACAAGUAUUGACGCUGAGGUGCGAAAGCGUGGGGAGCAAACAGGAUUAGAUACCCCCGUAGUCCCUGUCUCUUAUAC
RNAcentral lists this ribosomal RNA (301 nucleotides) under uncultured bacterium. Its description in RNAcentral is "partial 16S ribosomal RNA". It matches the Rfam family "Bacterial small subunit ribosomal RNA", at positions 509 to 807 of the family's 1533-position model. The record is from RNAcentral.